This 468-nucleotide ribosomal RNA is filed under the name uncultured bacterium. RNAcentral describes it as "partial 16S ribosomal RNA". It matches the Rfam family "Bacterial small subunit ribosomal RNA", at positions 28 to 507 of the family's 1533-position model. The record is from RNAcentral.
GACGAACGCUGGCGGCGUGCUUAACACAUGCAAGUCGAACGGAAAGGCCCUGCUUUUGUGGGGUGCUCGAGUGGCGAACGGGUGAGUAACACGUGAGUAACCUGCCCUUGACUUUGGGAUAACUUCAGGAAACUGGGGCUAAUACCGGAUAGGAGCUCCUGCUGCAUGGUGGGGGUUGGAAAGUUUCGGCGGUUGGGGAUGGACCCGCGGCUUAUCAGCUUGUUGGUGGGGUAGUGGCUUACCAAGGCUUUGACGGGUAGCCGGCCUGGGAGGGUGACCGGCCACAUGGGGACUGAGAUACGGCCCAGACUCCUACGGGAGGCAGCAGUGGGGAAUAUUGCACAAUGGGCGGAAGCCUGAUGCAGCAACGCCGCGUGCGGGAUGACGGCCUUCGGGUUGUAAAACGCUUUCGCCUGUGACGAAGCGUGAGUGACGGUAAUGGGUAAAGAAGCACCGGCUAACUACGUG